AGGAAAGGACAUCAAACGAGACUCCGCUAGUAGUGGCGAGCGAACGCGGAAGAGGCCUGUGGUCUCAGGAUAAGAACGGAAACAGUCUGGAAAGGCUGGCCAUAGUGGGUGAUAGCCCCGUACCGGUAGAAAUUCCUGAGAUCCUUGAGUAAGGCGGGACACGUGAAAUCCUGUCUGAAGAUGGGGGGACCACCCUCCAAGCCUAAGUACUCCUCGAAGACCGAUAGUGCACCAGUACCGUGAGGGAAAGGUGAAAAGCACCCCGAUGAGGGGAGUGAAACAGACCUGAAACCGGAUGCCUACAAGCAGUAGGAGCUCGAAAGAGUGACUGCGUACCUUUUGUAUAAUGGGUCAGCGAGUUCGUCUAUGCAGCAAGCUUAAGCCGAUAGGUGUAGGCGCAGCGAAAGCGAGUCUGAAGAGGGCGUCAGAGUUGCAUGGAUGAGACCCGAAACCGAGUGAUCUAGCUAUGGGCAGGUUGAAGGUGCAGUAACAUGCACUGGAGGACCGAACCCAC
Molecule: ribosomal RNA, 514 nt
Filed under: uncultured bacterium
Lineage: Bacteria
Description: bacterial LSU rRNA
Rfam family: Bacterial large subunit ribosomal RNA
Source: RNAcentral